UACAGAGGUCUCAAGCGUUGUUCGGAUUCAUUGGGCGUAAAGGGUGCGUAGGCGGCGCGGUAAGUCGGGUGUGAAAUCCCAGGGCUCAACCCUGGAACUGCCUUUGAUACUGUCGAUCUGGAGUAUGGAAGAGGUGAGUGGAAUUCCGAGUGUAGAGGUGAAAUGCGUAGAUAUCCGGAGGAACACCAGUGGCGAAAGCGGCUCUCUGGGGGCAACCUGACGCUGAGGCGCGAAAGCGUGGGUAGCGAACCGG
This 253-nucleotide ribosomal RNA is filed under the name uncultured bacterium. RNAcentral's name for it is "partial 16S ribosomal RNA". It matches the Rfam family "Bacterial small subunit ribosomal RNA", at positions 524 to 776 of the family's 1533-position model. The record is from RNAcentral.